GCCAUGCUUCCUCUAACUUCUAAAGCUGUGAUCCUUAAAAAAGAAAUGGCAGCAAAAAUCCAUCAUUUGAAUAUGGGGAUGACUAUUGAUGUCUGAGAUCCAGGGAGGCAGCGGCCUUUUGUGCUUCAGCCUCGAUGGAGUCUCUGGGCAAAUGACAAUAGCUAGCUAGCAUUGCUGAAUCACUUCACAUCCACUGGCUACUUGCCACAGGGUUUUACAACAUCAUUUGAGAUAUAUAAAUGAAGAUAUUUCUUCCGGGUAUCAAGCCCAUCUGUGGAUAUUAUUUAAUGAAAUGGGAAGGAAGGAUACAAACCAAAUGGUACCAGGGACAGUCAGGCAAGUUCCAGAUCUCAGCAACGCAACCCAAACAAGAGAGGCAGGAAGAGAUGAGAUACCGGCAACCAACACCUGGACAGAGCUCGCUCCAAGGAAGACCGAAGCCUUGUUUUGUUCGAAGGCUUGCUUUCACAUAGUUUGCUCUCCAACUAGAUUAAAACC
Molecule: long non-coding RNA, 498 nt
Filed under: Mus spicilegus (steppe mouse)
Lineage: Eukaryota; Metazoa; Chordata; Mammalia; Rodentia; Muridae
Description: lncRNA (ENSMSIG00000023053.1)
Source: RNAcentral